This 553-nucleotide small RNA is filed under the name Pan troglodytes (chimpanzee). RNAcentral's name for it is "retained intron". Lineage: Eukaryota; Metazoa; Chordata; Mammalia; Primates; Hominidae. The record is from RNAcentral.
CCUGAUGCUUGACCUUUCUCCCCACCAGCUCCGGAACGACUACAUGCAGCGCUACGCCAGCAAGGUCAGCGAGGGCAUGGCCCUGCAGCUGGGCUGCCUGGAGCUCAGGCGGUUCUUCAAGGAUAUGCCCCACAAUGCACUUGACAAGAAGUCCAACUUCGAGCUCCUAGAAAAGGAAGUGGGGCUGGACUUGUUUUUCCCAAAGCAGAUGCAGGAGAACUUAAAGCCCAAACAGUUCCGGAAGAUGAUCCAGCAGACCUUCCAGCAGUACGCCUCGCUCAGGGAGGAGGAGUGCGUCAUGAAGUUCUUCAACACUCUCGCCGGCUUCGCCAACAUCGACCAGGAGACCUACCGCUGUGAACUCAUUGUAAUGGCGGGCUCUCUUGAUCCUCUCCCUGACCCGGAUUCCAGGCCUCUCGGGAAAGGGGGCCAGGAGGGGGCAGGGAGAGGCUGCAAUCGCUGCAGAUUCUCAGGCAGCAGGACCUCGCUGGCCUGCCGUCGGUGGAAGUCACAAGCAUCCCCUUGCCUGAAGCAGGCACUGAAAUGUUGGCCU